UACGUAGGUGGCAAGCGUUGUCCGGAUUUAUUGGGUUUAAAGGGUGCGUAGGCGGAUGCUUAAGUCAGGGGUGAAAGACGGCCGCUCAACGGUCGCAGUGCCUUUGAUACUGGGCAUCUUGAGUGCAGACGAGGUCUGUGGAAUGGAUGGUGUAGCGGUGAAAUGCUUAGAUACCAUCCAGAACACCAAUUGCGAAGGCAGCAGACUAGGGUGCAACUGACGCUGAGGCACGAAAGUGCGGGGAUCAAACAGG
RNAcentral lists this non-coding RNA (253 nucleotides) under uncultured bacterium. Its description in RNAcentral is "partial 16S ribosomal RNA". It matches the Rfam family "Bacterial small subunit ribosomal RNA", at positions 524 to 776 of the family's 1533-position model. The record is from RNAcentral. RNAcentral also lists the same sequence under 1 other name.